CAGACCACAGUCAUUUCUCCCACACAAACCAUCUCUGCUAAAAUUGUGGAACAAAUUAAGUUUGUGAAUCAUUCCAGAUCACAAUUUUCAUCAGAAAGAGUUCUAAUUGACCUAAGCACCUUCAUCAAAAUAAUUGCCUGUGGUUUUCAUUCAUGAACAAGGUUCAGGAACUCGGACUCAGAGGGGCCCCAGAAUCUUCCCACUCCAAGGCCUGCUCACAACGGCAGCAAGGGGACCCCACUCUAUGUAAG
This is a long non-coding RNA of Fukomys damarensis (Damara mole-rat), 251 nucleotides long. NCBI's taxonomy places the organism in Eukaryota, Metazoa, Chordata, Mammalia, Rodentia, Bathyergidae. The record is from Ensembl.